This 290-nucleotide long non-coding RNA is filed under the name Ananas comosus (pineapple). RNAcentral describes it as "long non-coding RNA (ACOM_LNC042058)". Lineage: Eukaryota; Viridiplantae; Streptophyta; Magnoliopsida; Poales; Bromeliaceae. The record is from RNAcentral.
CCCAUGACUUUUUUUUUCCUGCUAACCGUUUUUUUUCUUAUUUUGAUUGAUUUCGUUUUGCCGGUUUCUGAAUUAGGGCGGGGGAUUUGGGCGUACUGUUCAUAGACAUCCCUUUUCUUAAUGUUUGUUUUCAGUCCUACCAGUUUAUUUUGCUUUUAAAAUAUUGUCAAAUGUUUCGUUGAUCUUUUAAAGUUAUUUAAAGACCCUGUGGAUAUGCAAGUCAGGACAAAAUACGCCUUUGCCAUUGCCGGCGUUGCUGACCCUUGCUGAGAGGUUUUGUUGGGUUGCUG